UCUGGUGACAAUGGCAAGGAGGUCACACCUGUUCCUAUGCCGAACACAGAAGUUAAGCUCCUUAGCGCCGAUGGUAGUCGGACUAACGUUCCGCUAGAGUAGGACGUUGCCAGGC
Molecule: ribosomal RNA, 115 nt
Filed under: Staphylococcus pasteuri
Lineage: Bacteria; Bacillati; Bacillota; Bacilli; Caryophanales; Staphylococcaceae
Source: RNAcentral